AUUGAACGCUGGCGGCAUGCCUUACACAUGCAAGUCGAACGGUAACAGGUCUUCGGAUGCUGACGAGUGGCGAACGGGUGAGUAAUACAUCGGAACGUGCCUAGUAGUGGGGGAUAACUACUCGAAAGAGUGGCUAAUACCGCAUGAUAUCUACGGAUGAAAGCAGGGGAUCGCAAGACCUUGUGCUACUAGAGCGGCCGAUGGCAGAUUAGGUAGUUGGUGGGAUAAAAGCUUACCAAGCCGACGAUCUGUAGCUGGGCUGUGAGGACGAUCAACCACACGGGGACUGAGAACCGGCCCAGUCUCCUACGGGAGGCAGCAGUGGGGAAUUUUGUACAGUGGGCGAAAGCCUGAUCCAGCAAUGCCGCGUGCAGGAUGAAGGCCUUCGGGUUGUAAACUGCUUUUGUACGGAACGAAAAGCCCCGGGUUAAUACCCUGGGGUCAUGACAGUACCGUAAGAAUAAGCACCGGCUAACUACGUGCCAGCCGCCGCUGUAA
RNAcentral lists this ribosomal RNA (498 nucleotides) under uncultured bacterium. Its description in RNAcentral is "partial 16S ribosomal RNA". It matches the Rfam family "Bacterial small subunit ribosomal RNA", at positions 30 to 523 of the family's 1533-position model. The record is from RNAcentral.